This 464-nucleotide ribosomal RNA is filed under the name uncultured bacterium. RNAcentral describes it as "bacterial SSU rRNA". It matches the Rfam family "Bacterial small subunit ribosomal RNA", at positions 330 to 792 of the family's 1533-position model. The record is from RNAcentral.
CCCAGACUCCUACGGGAGGCAGCAGUGAGGAAUAUUGGUCAAUGGUCGGGAGACUGAACCAGCCAAGCCGCGUGAGGGAGGAAGGUACAGAGUAUCGUAAACCUCUUUUGUCAGGGAACAAAGGCGGGGACGUGUCCCCGGAUGAGUGUACCUGAAGAAAAAGCAUCGGCUAACUCCGUGCCAGCAGCCGCGGUAAUACGGAGGAUGCGAGCGUUAUCCGGAUUUAUUGGGUUUAAAGGGUGCGCAGGCGGUCUGUUAAGUCAGCGGUAAAAUUGCGGUGCUCAACGCCGUAGAGCCGUUGAAACUGGCGUUCUUGAGUGGGCGAGAAGUAUGCGGAAUGCGUGGUGUAGCGGUGAAAUGCAUAGAUAUCGCGCAGAACUCCGAUUGCGAAGGCAGCAUGCCGGCUCCACACUGACGCUGAGGCACGAAAGCGUGGGUAUCGAACAGGAUUAGAUACCCGGGUA